Molecule: non-coding RNA, 1226 nt
Organism: Myodes glareolus (Bank vole)
Lineage: Eukaryota; Metazoa; Chordata; Mammalia; Rodentia; Cricetidae
Source: RefSeq, a predicted model, not a curated record
UCAAGUUGACAUAAAAACUAAACAGCACACCCCCUCAAAAACCUUUCCUGUUUGGAGAGUAUGAAAAUUAAGGAUUGUGAUCACUUACCUUUUCUUAGGCCGUUUCUACGAAAAUUACACUUAGAGCCUACAGUUGUGACCUGUUUAUGGAAAGCAGAACAAAAAGUGUGUUUCAAUAAAAGCUUUUACUUAUUGUUAUACUAAUAUAAAAUACUAGUUAACGGUAGUGAAUCGUGGUGUCUUGUAUUGCAUUUAAAGUAGGUAAUGGGGUCAGAGAGGUGGCUUUAUCAGUAAGACACCAGUGGCCAAUCCUGAUACAGUACCCCCUGAUGGAAGGAGAAAACCAACACCCCAAAGUCUCUGACUUCCCCGGGAGCACAUGAACAGAAGCCUUGUUCCUCUCAUGUUUUAUACUUACUCAGGAUGGGAAUCAAGAUAUCCUACUGCUAAAGAUUGUCUCAAAUAUUAAUGAGCAAAGCCAAGCAUGGUGUUGCAUGUCUGUAAUUCCAGCACUUGGGGAACUGAGCUUUCUAGACCCUAAUAUAGCAGGAAAGUAUGUCAUUAUCACGAGGUCAAGGGAAGACUAAAGCUCAAAAUCUAAAUGAUGUGUGGGUUUCACUGAACACAGACAAUUCACUUUUACAACAUAAGGUAAAAACAUCCUAAAUCACAUGAAUUGGGACUACCUAACUUUAAAUUUCUGUGUCGAUACUCCUGGUAGAAUAAUCAGAUAGAUUAAAUACCUGACAUCCAUUUUCUUGACCUGACCACUAAAAUCUCUUUCCAUGUAUUUAUUUUGCAGGAUACAGUGAUGGAGCCACUGAGAUCAGUAAAAAGGGUGUUUUCAAUGUUGGGGUGUGAGAGCCCCUAGGGAAGUGCCACACUAUUUAAGUGUCUGUGUGCUGUAAUUUGUCUUUUAUCAGCUACAAAGACGUUUAAAGCAUUUAGAAUAGGACUUCAGUGAUCUCAUUUAGAGUGUAUUUUAGUUUGCUUUAAAAAAUGAAUAAUUCCCAAAAUGGAAAAUGAGCUUAAUCUGCAAGACCUUCAAUCAAUAUGAUUAAUAGUUUUUAAAUUUGGAAAAUUUUUCUUUAAAAGCCAGUAUGUCAAAUUAUUGACUCAUCUUUUAGACCUGAACCAAAAUUUCAGCAUUAAAAUAUACUAUGAAGCCAGGCGGUGGUGGCGCACGCCUUUAAUCCCAGCACUUGGGAGGCAGAGGCAGGUGGAUU